Molecule: long non-coding RNA, 2166 nt
Filed under: Gossypium barbadense (sea-island cotton)
Lineage: Eukaryota; Viridiplantae; Streptophyta; Magnoliopsida; Malvales; Malvaceae
Description: long non-coding RNA (GBAR_LNC011388)
Source: RNAcentral
UGAAAAGAACAAAGUUUUGUCCAUCUUUGUCCAUCUUUGUUCAUCAUAGCCUAAAGUUAGAGAAGAGAAAGGAGAGAAGAAAGCUCUUGAAUGUUCGGUCACUUGGGGAAGAAAAUUGAAGGUAAGUUCUUGGUACCUUGCUUCUAUUUUGAGGUUCAUGAGUUCUUCUUGAUUCUACCUUAACUCUUGAAGCAUAUUUUGGUUUUUAGUUGUGUUGUGAGCAUUUAGUCAUGAAUUAAAAUGAAGGAAAUGGUUGUUGUUUCAUGUUCUUUUGAUGAAAAAUGGAAGAUAGGUGAAGUUGAGCCAAACAAAUGAGCAUGCAUGUGCCUUAGAUGUUAAAGGGAAAAAUCGGCUAACAUGUUGUGCUUUAAAAUGAUGAAAUGGAGAUUAUACUUAAAUAAAAUCAUAGAUAUAUGAUGAUUGAUUGGUGAUAUACAUGUUUAAAUAACAUGCAUGCAAGGUAUGUGUGAAAGAGUGAUUUGGUAAUAAAUCUGCUUGGGACAGCAGCAGUAACGUGACUUUGGAAAAUCACCAUAAAUUGUGGGAGAUGAAUUAGAAGCUGAAUAAAUUAUGUAAUUAAAGCUUAUUGAGUCUAGUUUCAAAUUAAAUAAACAAGAACAUAUUUUGAAUUCUGUACAAUGAUAAAUUUGAUUCGUAAAGAAGAGUGGUCAGAUUAACCAAACAGUGAAACAUGGGAAACUUUGAGAAAAAUCUGGUAUUUAUUGGCUAAACCAAAAAUUCUGAAAAUUUUAUGGAUAGAAGAUAUAUGAGUCUAUUUUCAAGGAAAAUUAACGGAACUUGAUUUGGAGUUUCGUAGAUCCAGUUAUAAAUGAUUUAGUGACUGUUGCUCAGGAAGACAGCUUGCAGUGAAAUUUUGAUUAUGUGGUAAACAUUGACAAAAAUUUGUUAAUGAGUUGCUUAUUGAUUUCUUAUAAGCUUACUAUGAUCUGUAGGUGUGGUUGGCUGAAUAUGGUAUGGGGUUAAUAUGUAGUUCGUGCUUGAAUAGUUAGAUUAACGUGUUAGUAAUCCAAUUCUAGGCAGUUCGUGUGUGGAUCUCGUCAGCAUAUCGUCGCAAACAGGUGUGUAACUAACACCCUCUUAUAGACUAGAUCGGCACAAGUCGAAAAGCCGAAAUGCCGAAAAGCCGGUAUUUUGAGAUCUUGUGAGUGUGUGAAUGCUCAUGAGAUUAAUAUUUUGAUGUAUAUGGUAAAUUAAAGUGAUAAGACUGCAGAGUGCGCAAUUCUGUGCAUUUCGAUAUUUUUGGGCUUAAUGGGCCAAAAAGGGGAUAAUGGGCCAACGGGCCCAAAUUGGUAAGAAAAUGCGGUAAGUGUUUCUGAUCGUACGUAAAUGGCUAUGUUAUGUAUGAAAACCUUAAGAAUAGUUAAAUUACUUGAAUACCCCUAUGUAUGCAAAAUUACCAUUAUACCCCUAGGGUUACUUUUGACUAAAAAGCAUGACGAUCUGAUUCUGUAUGAUGUAUGCCAUGAUUAUAUAUCUGUUGCAUGGGGACUUUGGUUAUACUAUGGAGGAAGCGUCCUGGUGGCUAUGCCACAAUUAUCUGAUUUGGUGGCUCUGCCACAUAUAUCUGUCCUGGUGGCUAUGCCACAAUUAUCUGAUCUGGUGGCUCUGCCACAUAUAUCUGUUCUGGUGGCUUUGCCACAAUAUCUAUAUCUGGUGACUUCGUCACAAUAUCUGGCAGCCUCGCUGCGAUUUUUGUGGUGUGUAGUAGUUGGGUGGGUCGAGUAGUCUCCCCACAUGGUGUAAGGCUGGUACGGGGGUGUUAUGGAUGAAUCUGGGUUGGGUUUUUGCAUAAACAUGUAAUAUCUGUUCUGUUCUGUUCUGUUAUGGGCCUAUGGGCUUUAUUCUAAAUUUCUGUUCUGGGCUAAGGCCAACUUAUUCUGUUUCUGUGGGUUGAGCUGAUUUAGACUAUGGUUGGGUUAUUUUACACACUGAGUUUCCCCAAACUCAUCCCUUUUAUUUUCAUCCACGCAGGUAAUCCCCAACCAUAGUGGGCUUGGAGCUGUGAGGGAAUUCGGAGUGGCCACCCGUUCUGAAAGUUUGAUUUUCUUCUGGUGAACUGGACAUCUUUUUAUUUACGUUUGAAGUUUUGGGUUUUUAAGUUGUAAUAAGGCCGCUUAAUUAUUUUUGAUGGUUUUAAUAUGUAUU